CCUACGGGUGGCAGCAGUGGGGAAUAUUGCACAAUGGGGGAAACCCUGAUGCAGCGACGCCGCGUGAGUGAAGAAGUAAUUCGUUAUGUAAAGCUCUAUCAGCCGGGAAGCAAAUGACGGUACCUGAGUAAGAAGCCCCGGCUAACUACGAGCCAGCAGCCGCGGUAAUAUGUAGGGGGCAAGCGUUAUCCGGAUUUAAUGGGGGUAAAGGGAGCGUAGACGGCAGUGCAAGUCUGGAGUGAAAGGCGGGGGCUCAACCCCAGGACGGCUCUGGAAACUGUACGGCUGGAGAGACGGAGAGGUAAGUGGAAUGCGUAGUGUAGCGGUGAAAUGCGUAGAUAUUAGGAAGAACACCAGUGGCGAAGGCAGCUUACUGGACGGUAACUGACGUUGAGGCUCGAAAGCGUGGGGAGCGAACAGGAUUAGAUACCCUAGUAGUC
Molecule: ribosomal RNA, 440 nt
Filed under: uncultured bacterium
Lineage: Bacteria
Description: partial 16S ribosomal RNA
Rfam family: Bacterial small subunit ribosomal RNA
Source: RNAcentral